GCCAUGGUGGCGGAACUGGUAUACGCGCAUGCCUUAGGAGCAUGUUCCCGCAAGGGAUUGUGAGUUCGAGUCUCACCCAUGGCACCA
This 87-nucleotide transfer RNA is filed under the name Patescibacteria group bacterium. RNAcentral describes it as "tRNA-Leu". It matches the Rfam family "tRNA". From Rfam's summary of the family: Transfer RNA (tRNA) molecules are approximately 80 nucleotides in length. Their secondary structure includes four short double-helical elements and three loops (D, anti-codon, and T loops). The record is from RNAcentral.